RNAcentral lists this ribosomal RNA (861 nucleotides) under uncultured Blastomonas sp. Its description in RNAcentral is "bacterial SSU rRNA". It matches the Rfam family "Bacterial small subunit ribosomal RNA", at positions 28 to 833 of the family's 1533-position model. The record is from RNAcentral. Lineage: Bacteria; Pseudomonadati; Pseudomonadota; Alphaproteobacteria; Sphingomonadales; Blastomonadaceae.
GAUGAACGCUAGCUACAGGCUUAACACAUGCAAGUCGAGGGGAAACGGCAUUGAGUGCUUGCACUCUUUGGACGUCGACCGGCGCACGGGUGAGUAACGCGUAUCCAACCUUCCCAUUACUGUGGGAUAACCUGCCGAAAGGCAGACUAAUACCGCAUAGUCUUCGAUGACGGGUCAGAUUUGAAGUAAAGAUUUAUCGGUAAUGGAUGGGGAUGCGUCUGAUUAUCUUGUUGGCGGGGUAACGGCCCACCAAGGCUACGAUCAGUAUGGGUUCUGAGAGGAAGGUCCCCCACAUUGGAACUGAGACACGGCCCAAACUCCUACGGGAGGCAGCAUUGAGGAAUAUUGGUCAAUGGACGGAAGUCUGAACCAGCCAAGUAGCGUGCAGGAUGACGGCCCUAUGGGUUGUAAACUGCUUUUGUAUGGGGAUAAAGUUAGGGACGUGUCCCUAUUUGCAGGUACCAUACGAAUAAGGACCGGCUAAUUCCGUGCCUGCAGCCGCGGUUAUACGGAAGGUCCAGGCUUUAUCCGGAUUUUAUUGGGUUUAAAGGGAGCGUAUGCUGUAGAUUAAGUGUGUUGUGAAAUGUAGACGCUCAACGUCUGAAUUGCAGCGCAGACUGGUUUCCUUGAGUACGCGCAACUUUGGCGGAAUUCGUCUUGUUGUGGGGAAAUGCUUAUAUAUGACGAAAAUGUCCGAUGGCUAGUGCGCUGACGUAGCUCGCGUAGUGCUGAUGCUCGAAGUGCGGGUAGCGACAUGAUAGAUGCGUGUGAGUUGAGGGUGUAUUCCUAGUGGAUAUGAGUUUAUCAUGUCUGUCACUCGUGGGGGCCCGGGACCUGCUUGUGUCUGUUAUUGGGGUGAUA